UGAAAUAGGAUUUUGGUUCACCCCUCACGCGUCUACUCUUCUCGCUCACGACUCAGUCCUCUCUCUCGAUCUUAUCCUCUCUUUCUCUCUCACCCUCGCAUCCUCAUCCUCACAUGACCUUAUCCUCUCACUCUCUCCCCCAUCUCUCCCCCGUCCUAAUCCAAAUCUCCCUGCGAAACGAACACGAGAGGAAGACUAGAGUACUAGACUAGAGGAGAAACUGCUCUCUCAGCGAUCGGCGAGGCCUCUUACGAUGUUAAUUUCCCGUCUGAUUCUUCGUUUCUCCGCUUAUUUUUCUAUGAUUUUUCCGUGUUUCUUCUUUGUUGUGUUGAGAAUCACGUUUUGGUGGGAAGAACUUAUGGGGAUUCAAAACUUUUGGUUUUUUUUACCCUAAAAUUCGGAUCAGAAGUAGAAGAGGGCAUAAUGAUUUUGAGAAAAUCCACUGGGAUUUUUCGAACUUGUACUUAGGGAUUAGUAUAGUUGUUAAACAUAUAGAUGCUUAAUUUUUUUCCCAUCAUUUCAAUCGUUAUCCUGCAAGGUUUCGAUAGUGCUUCUGAUUAUUUCCCCUUUUCUCAUCGCAUCUGUGUGGCUUUGUUCAGGUGGUGCUGCAACCAGAUCAGUUCCUGAGCGAGCUGACGAGCAUGUACGAGCGAAGCAUAGAGAAGGGCUGCGUGUGGGUCACCAUGAAGUGAUGGCCCCAGCAAGGAAAGGAGGGGAUGAGACAAUACUGAGUGAGGUGGUACAAGUAGGUUAUUUGGUUAGAUAUAUACGAUAGUAUGAGAAUGUAUUUGGUUGGUUAUAUGAAAUGGAAUGAUUCGGUACAAGAUUCUAUUGAAUGGAUUGAUCCUGGA
Molecule: long non-coding RNA, 851 nt
Organism: Phragmites australis (common reed)
Lineage: Eukaryota; Viridiplantae; Streptophyta; Magnoliopsida; Poales; Poaceae
Exons: 2
Source: RefSeq, a predicted model, not a curated record